RNAcentral lists this ribosomal RNA (468 nucleotides) under uncultured bacterium. RNAcentral's name for it is "partial 16S ribosomal RNA". It matches the Rfam family "Bacterial small subunit ribosomal RNA", at positions 28 to 507 of the family's 1533-position model. The record is from RNAcentral.
GACGAACGCUGGCGGCGUGCUUAACACAUGCAAGUCGAACGGAAAGGCCCUGCUUUUGUGGGGUGCUCGAGUGGCGAACGGGUGAGUAACACGUGAGUAACCUGCCCUUGACUUUGGGAUAACUUCAGGAAACUGGGGCUAAUACCGGAUAGGAGCUCCUGCUGCAUGGUGGGGGUUGGAAAGUUUCGGCGGUUGGGGAUGGACUCGCGGCUUGGCGGCUGGUUGGUGGGGUAGUGGCUUACCACGGCUUCGGCGGGUAGCCGGGCUGGGAGGGUGACCGGCCAGAUUGGGACUGAGAUGCGGCCCAGACUCCUACGGGAGGCAGCAGUGGGGAAUAUUGCACAAUGGGCGGAAGCCUGAUGCAGCAACGCCGCGUGCGGGAUGACGGCCUUCGGGUUGUAAACCGCUUUCGCCUGUGACGAAGCGUGAGUGACGGUAAUGGGUAAAGAAGCACCGGCUAACUACGUG